RNAcentral lists this ribosomal RNA (521 nucleotides) under uncultured bacterium. RNAcentral describes it as "partial 16S ribosomal RNA". It matches the Rfam family "Bacterial small subunit ribosomal RNA", at positions 355 to 895 of the family's 1533-position model. The record is from RNAcentral.
UGGGGAAUAUUGGACAAUGGGGGCAACCCUGAUCCAGCCAUGCCGCGUGAGUGAUGAAGGCCUUAGGGUUGUAAAGCUCUUUCACCCGGGACGAUAAUGACGGUACCGGGAGAAGAAGCCCCGGCUAACUUCGUGCCAGCAGCCGCGGUAAUACGAAGGGGGGCUAGCGUUGUUCGGAAUCACUGGGCGUAAAGCGCACGUAGGCGGACCGUUAAGUCGGAGGUGAAAUCCUGGGGCUCAACCCCAGAACUGCCUUCGAUACUGGCGGUCUCGAGUCCGGAAGAGGUGAGUGGAACUGCCAGUGUAGAGGUGAAAUUCGUAGAUAUUGGCAAGAACACCAGUGGCGAAGGCGGCUCACUGGUCCGGUACUGACGCUGAGGUGCGAAAGCGUGGGGAGCAAACAGGAUUAGAUACCCUGUAGUCCACGCCGUAAACGAUGAAUGCCAGCCGUCGGGCAGCAUGCUGUUCGGUGGCGCAGCUAACGCUUUAAGCAUCCGCCUGGGGAGUACGGUCGCAAGAUU